RNAcentral lists this ribosomal RNA (301 nucleotides) under uncultured bacterium. RNAcentral's name for it is "partial 16S ribosomal RNA". It matches the Rfam family "Bacterial small subunit ribosomal RNA", at positions 509 to 807 of the family's 1533-position model. The record is from RNAcentral.
CAGCCGCCGCGGUAAAACGUAGGGUGCAAGCGUUAAUCGGAAUUACUGGGCGUAAAGCGUGCGCAGGCGGUUUGUUAAGACAGAUGUGAAAUCCCCGGGCUCAACCUGGGAACUGCAUUUGUGACUGGCAGGCUAGAGUAUGGCAGAGGGGGGUGGAAUUCCGCGUGUAGCAGUGAAAUGCGUAGAUAUGCGGAGGAACACCGAUGGCGAAGGCAGACCCCUGGGCCAAUACUGACGCUCAUGCACGAAAGCGUGGGGAGCAAACAGGAUUAGAUACCCCCGUAGUCCCUGUCUCUUAUAC